UAAUGACUCUCGGCAACGGAUAUCUCGGCUCUCGAAUCGAUGAAGAACGUAGCGAAAUGCGAUACGUGGUGUGAAUUGCAGGAUCCCGUGAACCAUCGAGUUUUUGAACGCAAGUUGCGCCCGAAGCCGUCAGGCCAAGGGCACGUCUGCCUGGGCGUCACGC
RNAcentral lists this ribosomal RNA (163 nucleotides) under Laportea ruderalis. Its description in RNAcentral is "5.8S ribosomal RNA". It matches the Rfam family "5.8S ribosomal RNA". From Rfam's summary of the family: 5.8S ribosomal RNA (5.8S rRNA) is a component of the large subunit of the eukaryotic ribosome. It is transcribed by RNA polymerase I as part of the 45S precursor that also contains 18S and 28S rRNA. The record is from RNAcentral. Lineage: Eukaryota; Viridiplantae; Streptophyta; Magnoliopsida; Rosales; Urticaceae.